ACGCCGGCCAACGUAAUUACCUCUCCACUCCCCUAUUCCCCUGUCUGUUUAUUAGUGUCCUCUGUGUGUGCCAUACUAUUGGGUAUGGGGGAGGGCAUAGUCAUUGGGGGUGGAGUAUGCAGUGGGGAUCCAUGCUGUGUUGCUGUGGGUUGCUCACCAUUUAUACUACAGGGUGGAUUAUUUUCACUGAAUUAUAUUAGUGGCCCCACUGUAUUUUGCGUACGUAAUAUUGUGCCUCCCUAUCCGGUAGUUGGUGUUACUACAGUUUUAUGAACUUUAUGUAAUAAUAAACUAUUUGUAUUUUGACUUUA
Molecule: long non-coding RNA, 311 nt
Organism: Alosa sapidissima (American shad)
Lineage: Eukaryota; Metazoa; Chordata; Actinopteri; Clupeiformes; Clupeidae
Exons: 2
Source: RefSeq, a predicted model, not a curated record